This 1612-nucleotide ribosomal RNA is filed under the name Anotia firebugia. RNAcentral describes it as "SSU rRNA". It matches the Rfam family "Eukaryotic small subunit ribosomal RNA", at positions 186 to 1680 of the family's 1831-position model. Lineage: Eukaryota; Metazoa; Arthropoda; Insecta; Hemiptera; Derbidae. The record is from RNAcentral.
GCCUCGGCGGCAGAGGCGCAAUUAUUAGAUCAAGACCAAUCGGCUAAGCCGGCCGGCCUAUUUUGCGCUCGGUCGGUGGGCCGUUUAUCUUGGUGACUCUGAAUAAUCCAGCUGAUCGCGUAGGCCUUGCGCCGGCGACGGAUCCAUCAAAUGCCUGCCCUAUCAACUUUCGAUGGUAGGUUAAGUGCCUACCAUGGUGUUGACGGGUAACGGGGGAUCAGGGUUCGAUUCCGGAGAGGGAGCCUGAGAAACGGCUACCACAUCUAAGGAAGGCAGCAGGCGCGCAAAUUACCCACUCCCGGCACGGGGAGGUAGUGACGAGAAAUAACGAUACGGGACUCAUCCGAGGCCUCGUAAUCGCAAUGAGUACACUGUAAACAGUUGUACGAGUAUCAAUUGGAGGGCAAGUCUGGUGCCAGCAGCCGCGGUAAUUCCAGCUCCAAUAGCGUAUAUUAACGUUGUUGCGGUUAAAAAGCUCGUAGUCCGAUUUGUGUCCCGCGGCGCCGGUUCGCCGCCCGUCGGUGUAACUGGCGCGCCAGCGGGACGUCCUGUCGGACGGGCCGCCUCGAGCUCGCCCGAGCCUAUGCGUUAGUAGCUCGCCCCGCCAGGAGCGAUGCGAAGGCGCCUACGGCGCGGGCCUGCAGCGCGCGGCGGCCCGCGUAUCCCGUCGCGGUGCUCUUAACCGAGUGUCGAGUCGGGCCGGCACGUUCACUUUGACCAAACGAGCGUGCUCUAGGUGGGCUAUAAUGCCCGCAUUUGUGUGCAUGGAAUGAUGGAAAAGGACCACGGGCCUGUUUUGUUGGCCUCUUAAGGCCCGUGGUAAUGAUCAACGGGGGGCGGGAGGGGGCGUUCGUAUUGCGACGUUAGAGGUGAAUUCUUAGAUCGUCGCAGACGAGCAGAGGCGUAGCGUCCGCCAUUUACGUUUCCCGUCGAUCAGACGAAGUAGAGGUUCGAGCGAUCAGAUACGCCCUAGUCUAAUAAACUAUGCUGCCAGCUAUCUGCGGUGUUACUCGAUGACCCGCAGGUCAGCUACCGGGAAACCAGAGCUUUUGGGUUCCGGGGGAAGUAUGGUUGCAAAGCUGAAACUUAAAGGAAUUGACGGAAGGGCACCACCAGGAGUGGAGCCUGCGGCUUAAUUUGACUCAACACGGGGAAACUCACUAGGCCCGGACACCAGAAGGAUUGACAGAUUGAGAGCUCUUUCUUGAUUCGGUGGGUGGUGGUGCAUGGCCGUUCUUAGUUGGUGGAUCGAUUUGUCUGGUUAAUUCCGAUAACGAACGAGACUCUGACCUGCUAACUAGACGCUGCCCGGUAUCUCUCAACGAGCUACCGGCGGCAAAAUUCUUCUUAGAGGGACAGACGGCUCCUAGCCGCACGAGAUUGAGCAAUAACAGGUCUGUGAUGCCCUUAGAUGUCCUGGGCCGCACGCGCGCUACACUGGAGGAGUCAGCGUGUCCUCCCUGUCCGAAAGGACCGGGUAACCCGCUGAAACUCGUCCGUGUUAGGGACUGGGGAAUGCAAUCGUUCCCCACGAACGAGGAAUUCCCAGUAAGCGCGAGUCACCAGCUCGCGUUGAUUACGUCCCUGCCCUUUGUACACACCGCCCGUCGCU